ACGCACGUACGAGCGAGGCCGCCCGCCCUCGAGCGAGAACCACUCGCACGCACGACUCGCUCAGCAAAUCGUGCGCCGCCGCCCUCCAUCCUUCGCCACCGCCGAUCCAUCCCUUCGCCGCCGCCGCUCCAUCCCUUCGCCGCCGACCUCGCACAUCAAAGCCGCCGCCGCUCCAUCCCUUCGCCGCCGCCGCUCCAUCCCUUCGCCGCCGCCCUCGCACAUCGAAGCCGCCGCCCACGAUCCACUUCAGGAGACGCCGUCGAUCCCGUUGAGGACCUGCUGCCCAUCAUGUCGAGGAUCCGAAGACGAUCCCCUUUAGGAGCCUUGCCGAUCCUUCUCCACACGCCACCGCCUCCCUUGCGAAGACGCCUUGCCAUGGAUCUCAAUCGGCGUUACGACGGCCGUGGCCUCCCCACCCGCCGACGUUCCAGAUCCGGCCAUCGUUGACCCCCUCCACAUCAGUGAUUGGUCAAGGUAGGGGUGUGUGGCUCUAUCCAUCUUCCUGCGUGUACGGCGUCUGUGUAUCCCGGCAAGGGUGCUUGUGAGAUCGGGAGGCGAUCAAAAGGAGGAAGAGGAGAUCCAUGGUUGGGGAUACAUUCAACGACCUAGGCAUCAUCCUCCCUGACGUCGUACUCGAAGCCCGCAGCCAUUGCCUUCUCAAUCUACGUUAGUCAGCAGCAGCAAGCAGAGAAUUAACAACAGUAGACCAAAGCAAAGGGGGGUCAGCCUGAAUGGGACGUAUCCCCUUCCAGAGGACUCGCCCUAGCUAGCCUGCAUGGUACCUUUCAUUAGCACUUCUCCCACAUUGUACGUGUUGUUCUCUGCAUGAUGUGUGGUGGAUGGGGAUGCGGAGGCGACGACUGGCGGCUGUUCUAUUUACACCUGACAUGGUUGAGAGGCUAGGGAGCAGGCGAUUUUGCACUCGUAUUUGGUCGGCAAUGGAGAUGAAUUUGUGAGAGAUGUGGCUGGGAGUUGCACCGGUCAUUUUUCUGCCCUCUCUAUGUUAUCCCUUUGCACUAAUCGGUAAUUGCUUUUUGACCAGGGGAUAGGGUAGCGUACACGAACAGCAAAAUUGUAGAAGACGAGGAGGACAAUCUGAGUGACCAACAUUAUGUGGAGUAUUGAGAUGCAGAUCCAUCUUCACCGACAGCACGCGCUUGUCUGUGACCUCCCACCAGCAGCGCCUUGAGGUCACCCACACAAGCGACCAAGCAAUUCCACGCUGUCACCCUCUGCUACUUCGCCAACGACAUCGAGGAGGUCGUGGGUGAGAGCUACUGUCCUCCCUGGAGAACAUGCUCGUGCCCCAUGCGUACGAAGAAGAGCUAAGACACUCGCAUGGGUGCUCAAGGAAAUAAACCAGAUUGAGCGAGAGUGUUACGCAAUUUAUCAACAAGAGCAAAGACUCUAAUCUGAUGAUGUAGGACAGCUUUAAUGUGACAGAGGAUCAUGGUGGUCGAUGGAUUGUGCACCCGGUAGUAGACUAAGAAAGGAACAUUAUUUAUGGAACACAAUGAUAUUCAGAGCAGCCCUGCACUAUGUGAGAUUUAGAAGUUGGUACUGCCGGCGGAUGCAUCCAUGUGCUAAUCUCCUGGCACCGCGUAGACGGAGCCAAACGAGUUGGGGCCUCCAGCCGGCUGGUAGUGGACAACAACACCGGGUUUGUUAAUUACUCAACAAGUCACAGAUUGAUCUCUUUUUUGAUUGGUUUGGUGUGGAUUAUCAGGCCUGCCGCGCAAUCAUAGAUUUAUCUUUUGAUUUAUGUGGGUGGACAGAAACACCUUUUCUAAAGUUUUCUAGGGAUUGUAAUGAAGCACAGUAACACACUCCAGCAUUCAUUCUUUGCUUGAUAUUAGCAAACAAUGUAAAAUAACCAAGCUCACAACAUUCUAAAGCGGUCUAUUAGCUACUUCAGCAGACAACAGACAGAAAGAAGUAAGCAGUAUUUGAUUUGCUCAUACCCGUGGAGGGAUCGAAUUCUGCCCAAAGUUUGUCGCAACACUUGUGGUCAGCGGCGAGGAUGAGCACCCACACCCGCUCCUUGUUGGUGGCCUCUGCAUCCUCCUCCCUCGAAGUGGGUCUAUGCGGGGAGUUGAUCUAGAAUAUCCUAUUGUUAGAUAUAACAAAUAGGUGACAAGAAAUAAACAAGAACUAUGUGGUACAAUAUAUGUGUCACACAGUAUACUUUGAAAAUGUGUAAUUUGAGAUUCUGAUAUAGAUGUAGGCCUGUAACACACCUUGAACAUGCACUAAAAAUUGUUGUUUACAGUCUGAUUUCUAAACCUGAUGAAAACCCCUAUUUAAAAAAGGAUUUAAUAGAAUUUGUAGUGAUUCUUUUGUCAGA
Long non-coding RNA from Triticum aestivum (bread wheat), 2344 nucleotides. RefSeq lists it as uncharacterized. The record is from RefSeq and is a predicted model, not a curated record. The transcript has 6 exons. NCBI's taxonomy places the organism in Eukaryota, Viridiplantae, Streptophyta, Magnoliopsida, Poales, Poaceae.